RNAcentral lists this antisense RNA (80 nucleotides) under Streptomycetaceae bacterium MP113-05. RNAcentral describes it as "ASpks TB sRNA". It matches the Rfam family "ASpks TB sRNA". The record is from Rfam by way of RNAcentral. Lineage: Bacteria; Bacillati; Actinomycetota; Actinomycetes; Kitasatosporales; Streptomycetaceae.
CUUCACCGACCCGAGCCGGAGCGGUUCGGCUCCCGUCCGGGCCCGGCCCGGCCGUAGGUGGCCAGCAGUGCCUGGGCCUC